GAGGGUACAGCUUAGUGGUAGAGCACAUGCCUAGCAUGCAUGAAGUCCUGGGUUCAAUCCCCAGUACCUCCA
This 72-nucleotide transfer RNA is filed under the name Camelus bactrianus (Bactrian camel). It matches the Rfam family "tRNA". From Rfam's summary of the family: Transfer RNA (tRNA) molecules are approximately 80 nucleotides in length. Their secondary structure includes four short double-helical elements and three loops (D, anti-codon, and T loops). Lineage: Eukaryota; Metazoa; Chordata; Mammalia; Artiodactyla; Camelidae. RNAcentral also lists the same sequence under 1 other name. The record is from Rfam by way of RNAcentral.